RNAcentral lists this long non-coding RNA (1128 nucleotides) under Panax ginseng (ginseng). Its description in RNAcentral is "long non-coding RNA (PGIN_LNC007058)". The record is from RNAcentral. Lineage: Eukaryota; Viridiplantae; Streptophyta; Magnoliopsida; Apiales; Araliaceae.
AAAAAGACAAAAAGAAAGGAGUAGUUAAUGCCUGUUUGGCUACAACAUCGUGGCUCUUUAGUGAUCAUCCAAAUGACCCUCAUCACUCCCACCGCACCGGCCUCGUGUUAGCAAACCGUAAUAACCGCUGCCUCCUCCUGCUUCUCUUUCCACACCAGUAAAGCUAUGACCUCGGUGGUGACGCAAUUCCCCUGCGUCAGUAGUAUUAUUCUCUGCCCUAAUUUCCAUCAUCCCAAUCCCAAAUGCUUUGCAUUUUCCCGCCAAAUCAACGUCCAAGAAUCCAGCUUUAUAUUUCCUACUGCUACCUUCAGCUCAACAUUUCGCCGCAGCAGAACACAAUCGCUUUGCUUAAUCUCCUGUUCCGCUUCCAAUAAGCCUUCUCCCUCUCCUGAUUUCAGGUCUCUCUCUCUUACAUGUAUUUGUAUUUUAUAUGUAUGCAUUUGGUUACAAUGUUAAUACCUUCUAUUUCUAUUGUCAUAUGAAUUCAAGGUUUGCAUUAUUAUUGCAAUGAUGAAACAUUAAAUUGAAUCGUAAUGAAAUAAAUAAAAAAUUUACUCCCCUCAGUGUUAAAGUUCUAAAAUUAGACAGACAUUUGUAAAACUAGGACUUUUAAGGAAAAUUUUAUUUUUUCCAACUUAUCCACAACAUUAGUUAGCAAUUUAGUGGUGGUGCCAUGAUGGUACUCAAUCAACCACCAAUAAAAGUAAUAGUUUUGUCACUUUAUACUCUAAAAAUAGAAAUGUAUAUCUAAUUUUGGAAUAGACAAUAAAGAAUUAGAAAUUAUGUAUUAUUCUGGAUGCUAGUUUCCUUUCAAUGUGACUUGAAGGGUGUUCUGUAAAGUUAUUUAAUUUAAACAAGUUGAGUAGGAUUAAAACACUGGCAGAUAAUUUGCCCUUUACGAGAAUCAAGCUUUUGUUUGACUGAUAUGUUUAUUGAUUUAGCAAUCUCAUUUUGAUACAAGUUAAAUUCCAACUAUCAGAGGUUUAAACAUUGUUAAAAUUGAAUCCUGCAAAAGUAAAAUUCAUCGUCUUUUAAUGUGCUGAAAACCACUGCAUAUGUCUUUGUAGUUGAUGGUGUGUGGUGAUAGAUUAAAUAGACAACUCCUUUACACAACAAGGGAUCCUCAGU